GAUGAACGCUGGCGGCGUGCCUAAUACAUGCAAGUCGAGCGAACAGACGAGGAGCUUGCUCCUCUGACGUUAGCGGCGGACGGGUGAGUAACACGUGGAUAACCUACCUAUAAGACUGGGAUAACUUCGGGAAACCGGAGCUAAUACCGGAUAACAUGUUGAACCGCAUGGUUCAACAGUGAAAGACGGUCUUGCUGUCACUUAUAGAUGGAUCCGCGCCGCAUUAGCUAGUUGUUAAGGUAACGGCUUACCAAGGCAACGAUGCGUAGCCGACCUGAGAGGGUGGUAGGCCACACUGGAACUGAGACACGGUCCAGACUCCUACGGGAGGCAGCAGUAGGGAAUCUUCCGCAAUGGGCGAAAGCCUGACGGAGCAAAGCCGCGUGAGUGAAGAAGGUCUUCGGAUCGUAAAACUCUGUUAUUAGGGAAGAACAAAUGUGUAAGUAACUAUGCACGUCUUGACGGUACCUAAUCAGAAAGCCACGGCUAACUACGUG
RNAcentral lists this ribosomal RNA (497 nucleotides) under uncultured bacterium. RNAcentral describes it as "partial 16S ribosomal RNA". It matches the Rfam family "Bacterial small subunit ribosomal RNA", at positions 28 to 507 of the family's 1533-position model. The record is from RNAcentral.